GACGAACGCUGGCGGCGUGCUUAACACAUGCAAGUCGAACGGAAAGGCCCGGCUUUUGUGGGGUGCUCGAGUGGCGAACGGGUGAGUAACACGUGAGUAACCUGCCCUUGACUUUGGGAUAACUUCAGGAAACUGGGGCUAAUAUCGGAUAGGAGCUAUUGCUGCAUGGUGGGGGAUGGAAAGUUUCGGCGGUUGUGGAUGGAUUCGCUGCUUAUCAGCUAGUUGGUGGGGUAGGUGCUUACCAAGGGUUUGACGGGUAGCCCGCAUGAGAGGGUGAACGGCGUCAUGGGGACUGAGGGACGGAGCAGAAGGGUACGGUCGGCAGAAGGGGGGAGUAUUGCGCAGUGGCCGGGAGCGUGAUGCGAAGACGCUGCGAGCGGGAUGACGUCUUUCGGGUGAUAAACAGCUUUCGCAUGUGACAAGGCCUGAGUGACGGUAACGGGUCAAGAAGCAACGGCUAACUACGUG
RNAcentral lists this ribosomal RNA (468 nucleotides) under uncultured bacterium. Its description in RNAcentral is "partial 16S ribosomal RNA". It matches the Rfam family "Bacterial small subunit ribosomal RNA", at positions 28 to 507 of the family's 1533-position model. The record is from RNAcentral.